AGACGUCUACAUUAGAUACCCCGGUAGUCCCAGCCGUAAACAAUGUGCGUUAGGUGUGUCGGUAACCACGUGUUACUGAUGCGCCGAAGAGAAAUCGUGAAACGCACCACCUGGGAAGUACGGUCGCAAGGCUGAAACUUAAAGGAAUUGGCGGGGAGCACCACAACAGGUGGAGCCUGCGGUUUAAUUGGAUUCAACGCCGGACAUCUCACCGGAUAAGACAGCUGAAUGAUUGUCAAUCUGAAGGUUUUACAUGACUAGCUG
Molecule: ribosomal RNA, 264 nt
Filed under: uncultured archaeon
Lineage: Archaea
Description: partial 16S ribosomal RNA
Rfam family: Archaeal small subunit ribosomal RNA
Source: RNAcentral